Molecule: long non-coding RNA, 3750 nt
Filed under: Pan troglodytes (chimpanzee)
Lineage: Eukaryota; Metazoa; Chordata; Mammalia; Primates; Hominidae
Description: long non-coding RNA NONPTRT005318
Source: RNAcentral
GUUUUAUAGAUGAGAAGAGUGAGGCUGAGUGUGGAACUGUCUCACCCAAGACUGUGCAUGGUAGCUUUUUGACCUAAAGUCUUACUAUAAACUCACAGCACUAUGCAGCCCAGAAAAACCCUUCACAGAGGUGGCUCAAGAGUAUUACGACAGUCUGUUAAUCAAUUCUCAUUUAACAGAAGUGAUAUGGUUUGGCUUUGGGUCCCUGCCCAAAUAUCAGGUCGAAUUGUAAUCCCCAGUGUUAGAGGAGGGGCCUGGUGGGAGGUGAUUGGAUCAUGGGGGCAGUUUCUAAUGGUUUAGCACCAUCCCCCUAGUGCUGCUUGUUUAAAAGUGUGUAGCACCUCCUCCUUCACUCUCUCUCUCUUUCCCACCAGCCAUGUGAAGAUGUGCUUGCUUCCCCUUCACAUUCUGCCAUGAUUGUAAGUUUCCUAAGGCCUCCCCAGGAGCAGAAGCUUGUAUAGCCCACAGAACCAUGAGCCAGUUAAACUCCUUUUCUUUAUAAAUUACCCCAUCUCAGGUAUGUCUUUAUAGCGGUGUGAGAACAGACUAAUACAAGAGGGAAGAAAAAAACAAGGAGUAGAGAAGUCAAAAGAUACGUUCAGCAAGCGCAAGAUAAGGAACAAUGCUGGAAAAAAAAGUUGGUUUUUUUGUUUUGUUUUGUUUUGUUUUGUUUUUGCAGCAAAGGAAUUGUGUACUUUUUGUUCCUUUAAUAGCAGAAGGCCAUUGGGAAUCUCCUUGGUCUGAAAGGCAGCCUGCAGUUUUUGCACUGGCUCAACUGCCACAAGAGAGAAACUAUGGCUUUUGCUCACAGGUAUGAAAUGAGGUCUAACCCACUUCAGGGAAGUGAUAUGACCCUGAUAGCAAUGUCCUUUAGACUACAAGACGGAUCUUGUCAAAUUCAGGAUACUCCUACUUCAAAUUUUCCUCAGUUCCCAGUCUCUCUGACUUAGAGCUGAAGAGUAGAGGGGAAGGAUGUUCUACUUUUCUUUCACUAGUGAUGGGGAUGAUAGAAGAUGCCAAUGAUGUCUAUUUAGGGCAAAAGAACUGACAUUAUUGAAUAUGAAGAAAUGUGAAAGUGUGCAGAGGAGGGAAGGAACCUCUCUGUGUCUGGUCCUCGUGUCCCUGGGUGCCCCUUGCAUCCUUGUAUCCCCCUCCUCCACUUGGCUUGGUCAGACCAUGGCUAUAGAUAAAGUAGCCAUGGGGAGGCUGGGAUUUGUAAGCUGAAGUACAGCAGCACUCAGAAACCAACAACGAUUCCUCUUUCUGCUUAGCGCAAAGCUUGUGCUGGGGCCCAGGAUAAGCCCUGCCUCUGCAGACUGGUUGAGUUGGAUUGGAUGGUGGAAUGCCUUAGUCACAUCCUAAGUCAUAUGACUUGAGCCUCAGUGUAUCCGAACCCACGUAGACCAUAGUGUUACGGCAAGAGUCACUAGAAUUCAUUUGGAUUCUUGUUCUGUCUAGAAGGCUCCCACCAUCUCUUCUCUACCUGGCAGAUGUCUACUCAUCUUCCAAGAUCCAAAGGCACCCACCUCUGUAGCCUUCACUGACUCCUCCUGGCAGAGGUCAGUCCUCUGGACUCCCACAGUACUCUGCUCCACUUUCUUCAGCACUUAUCCCAUUUGAUACCCAUCACCUGCCUAGUCCUCUGCUCCCCUUUUCACUGUGAGCUCCCCAAGAUACAGUGCUUUCUCAUAUCUGCAUCCUCUGCCCCAGCAGAACUCAAUAGAUAGCCAAUCAGUGUUUGCUCCGUCAAUGAAUGGAUGAGAACAUUGAGACGGCCUUAAAGGAGAUUUUCUCAGAUGCAUCACAGGGGCCUCAGGCCCCCACCUGUGCUGCCAGACCCUCGCAGGGCCCCUGAGGUUUCUGCAUUCUUUAGGUCUGCCUGGUUUCUUGGUUUAUCUCUGCCUCUGCCCCUUUUUGGUGGAUUCAUUGACUCCUGCCUCCCCUUAUCUCCCAUUGGGUCUUGAGGCAAUGAUACCUUCGUGUUUUCCCAGCAUCUCCUAUUUGUACCACAGCCCAUGAGAAGUUGUGUUAACCCGGAGAUCAUGUGGAAUGCUCUUCAGAGGUGCACAAUACCCCACCCUCCUCCCUCUCUGCCUUUCACAAUACCCCAGAGCUGCCUCAGAUGUGCCCCUCAAGCAGUUAUGUGUUUAACGACUGGCUGGGGGGAGGGGGAGGUGAGGGGAAAGGGCGUACUGAGUUACAGCAUUUGCCAAGUUCUGUUGUGUAAACUACUCCCCCUGUGGCCAGUCUGAAGCUACUGAGGUGAUGUCAGCAAGCGCAGAGCUGUGAAGAGGCGCGGACUGGCACAUCAUCAUGUGGUUUUUCCAGCACAGAGAUACAGGAGACAUAAACACCCUCAAGAACAUAAAGCUGUUGGUCUCAGCGUCAGUUGCCCUCCGCACACCAGACUGUCCAACCAGGGCAGGGGAGUGAGGCAGUUUCUAUAGCAACAGAACCACAGCUGCACCCCACUGUCCCCACACCUCUGCACCAUUUCCCUCUGCCUACCCGCUUGCUUCUCCCAGGACACAAAACAGCCAGGCAAUUCCCAGGCCAGGAUAUAAUAAUUCCUGCCAAGAGUGCUGCGACUCUGACCACCUCUGUUGGUUUCUUGCUUUGUGUCUGCCUCUGCCCCUUUUAGGUGGAUUCCCUGACUCCCUCCUCUCCUUCUCUCCCAUUUGGUGUAGAAGCUGUGACACCUUCAUGCUACCCAGGGUGUCUCUCAUUUGUAUCAGUAAGCUGUGAACACUUAUGCUAUGAUGACCUUGGGAUAAGAAUAUAAAUCCAUGUUAACCACCAUCACCAUCUCACCAUCAUACAACUAUCAUGACCAGUUUACCCCAACAUGCUACCCCAUAACCACCCCACAGCAACAUCACCAUCACCUCCGCCUCCACCAGCACCCAUCAUCACACCACGCUCCACAGCCAGCUCACUAUCACCUCUACCAGCACCCACCUACCACACCCCCUCCACAGCCACCUAAUUAUCACCAGUACCCCCUCCCCCACCAUCUCCCCGCCUACCAUCCAUCCCACUUCCUUUAAUGAAAACAGGUGAUGCUGCGGGGGCUGCAUACAGUCCAGCAAACCCUGUCGAGCGCUGGCUUGGCUCACCCUGUCCCAUGGUUGCAGGCCGCUCCUCUUAUCCACUUGGCCGCAGAAAGCGCCUGUCUCGAACUGUUGCUUCUGGGCUCCUUCUGGGCUUUCUGUCUUCCAGACAGAAAAUAUGAAGGCACUUUUGUUGGCUUAAGAAUCUGGAAAUAUCAAAACCUCCCCCCACUACUCCUGUGAGCACCCUGACAUGUUUCUUCUCUCCUACUCCCUCCCUGCUGGUAUCUCCUGGACCAGUUACUGGGAGUAACCCUGUUCAUUUUAUCUCUUGUGCCAGGAGCCCCAGGCAGGAAUACGCCUGGCAGCCCUGGGGGAGGGGGUGGGAUAGGGAAGACCUGCCAACUAGAGAAGCCUAGAACAAACCUUGAAGCCUCUUGCUUCAGUGGUCUCAAGAGACUCUCAGAGAUGUUAUCUGGAGGGUACUGGAAGACUCUGGAAGAGAGGAGGCCACAAACAGGAGUCCCAUAUCCAACUCCAAAUCUCAGGCCCUAAACGUGACAGGGGCUGCAAGUUGCAAGAUGUUCAUGGGCUGUUUUGAUAAUAGAGAGAACACGUGCAUCUGCAAUUUAUCUGUGUGAAAAAGAUAAGGAAGUAGAAUUUGUUGGUGAAAAAUAAAUGUAUUAAAAGUAGAAGCUGG